RNAcentral lists this ribosomal RNA (447 nucleotides) under uncultured bacterium. Its description in RNAcentral is "bacterial SSU rRNA". It matches the Rfam family "Bacterial small subunit ribosomal RNA", at positions 355 to 825 of the family's 1533-position model. The record is from RNAcentral.
UCGGGAAUUUUGGGCAAUGGGCGAAAGCCUGACCCAGCAACGCCGCGUGAAGGAUGAAGUAUUUCGGUAUGUAAACUUCGAAAGAAUAGGAAGAAUAAAUGACGGUACUAUUUAUAAGGUCCGGCUAACUGCGUGCCAGCAGCCGCGGUAAUACGUAGGGACCAAGCGUUGUUCGGAUUUACUGGGCGUAAAGGGCGCGUAGGCGGCAAUUCAAGUCAUCUGUGAAAUCUCCGGGGUUAACUCGGAACGGUCAGAUGAUACUGCUUUGCUAGAGUGCAGAAGGGGCAAUCGGAAUUCUUGGUGUAGCGGUGAAAUGCGUAGAUAUCAAGAGGAACACCUGAGGUGAAGACGGGUUGCUGGGCUGACACUGACGCUGAGGCGCGAAAGCCAGGGGAGCAAACGGGAUUAGAUACCCACGUAGUCCCUGAGCGGGCUGGCAAGGCGCAU